UGAAAUUCCUCUCUCCCUCUGUAAUCUUCUCUUCUCCCACUUCUUCCAGUUCCUAAUACCUAUGUGACUUGCUCUUUAGCCUCAUGAAAGCUUCAAGUCAGCAGCCUCCUCUUCACCUGGAAUUCCAUUGCUCCUUUUUCCGGAAGCGCUGCUCAAGAAUCACCUUCUGCAUGAAAGGGCUUCCUGCAGUGUUAGCACAUGAUUUCACAGAUUUAAGAGUGGAGGCCCCAGCCUGGGCCGGAAGACUCAGGCACUUUGGCAACUGCACCACCUCCUCAACUCCUACUGUCAUCAUAGUACCUUCAUCCAGUAACUGAUGGAAGCAAAUGCAAAGAUCCUCAUCCAAGCACCAGGCUAAGCUACAGCUGUCCAGUCGAAGAGAAAGAAGGAUUAUAUGAGCAAAGAGGGUCAAGAUCAUGAUGGGGAAACUCACAGAGACAGUGGACCUGAACUUGCUGGAGCUCACGGACUCAUUGAACUAUAUACUGAAUGCAGAGACUGAUUUGUGGAAAGUUGGUGUCAUGAUAUUAUUGAAUCAUGUGAAUAACGUGAGCAUCAUGUGGCUGGGCCCAAUCCCAGGAUGCAUUAUUUAGAUUCUAUCCCUGAUGACAUCCAAUAAACCAAUCUUAAGGAAAGG
This 637-nucleotide long non-coding RNA is filed under the name Cricetulus griseus (Chinese hamster). RNAcentral's name for it is "lncRNA (ENSCGRG00015040457.1)". Lineage: Eukaryota; Metazoa; Chordata; Mammalia; Rodentia; Cricetidae. The record is from RNAcentral.